UUGCCGGUAACCGGGGCCUCGCGCUCCGGCAACUCACCCCGUCCAGAAUAUUCUGCACUUCCGGUAACGGCGCAGAAACCCAUCCCCCCCGGCGCCGGAGUCGGAACGAAGGUUCCGCAGGACAAACAGUUUAUUCCACAAUUUUAGGUUCUUCACGAUUACGAUUUUGAAGCAAUCUUUUGACCAUCAAAGAUUUCAACAUUUAAAAACAUCAGAUUGGACCAGUUAUGAGGAGAACAAUCAUCCAUGGUUGAAAUGUAUAAGUAAAAUAUUGUAAUUAGAAUUUUGGAACUUCGAAAUGGUGAAAAAUUUCAUAAAUAAAUCAUGUGCAUGCG
Long non-coding RNA from Carcharodon carcharias (great white shark), 335 nucleotides. RefSeq lists it as uncharacterized. NCBI's taxonomy places the organism in Eukaryota, Metazoa, Chordata, Chondrichthyes, Lamniformes, Lamnidae. The record is from RefSeq and is a predicted model, not a curated record. The transcript has 3 exons.